CAGACGCAGAGCUUAUGAAUGGAUAUACAGAAGAUAUUUAGAUCGUAAUGGUUGUCUUACAGGAAACUAGUAAAAUGAAAAUAUUGAUUGAAAUGCUAUGGUCACGCCAGAACGACGCUGUUAGCAGAGCAAUAUUUCCCUCUAGUGGCCGUUCGAGGGCAAUAGCUAAAACGUUCCCGGUGCCUAACGGUGCCCACAAGAAGAGCUAGGGUCACACUGUUUCAGUAAGGCAUGCAGUCGGCUCUUCACACAGGCAUGCAGCUAGUCUUGCUCUCCUGAUUUCUUGCUUUCUAACACCCACGGCGGGGAAGAGGCCUUGAGGGCCCCAUUUGCAGACCUUCUGGGGAACACUGGAAUGCCAGCAAGGAGCAGCUGAUGCAUCAUGAAUCCAGUUUCUAGUUUUAAUUCAAGGCAUUUAUUUAUUUAUUUAUAAUUCUGCCCAGGCAAUGGAAGAUAAACUACACCAUUUUGGAACAUUUAUAAACUGCAAUAUCUAUCUGAUAGGAAGCAUAAUACCUAUAUGAUAGGAAGCACAGAUGAGACAGAGGAAGAUGAAAAGCAAGAUAGACAUUGUGAAAGCACAGGUCAGGCAGUGAAGCCAUCUAAGCCUGAUGGAGCUGUGGUGGCAGUAAACUCUAUUUGUGAUGAUGCCAUGUGGAACAUAUUAGAAGUGUUAAGUUCCUAAUUAGAGAU
Molecule: long non-coding RNA, 693 nt
Organism: Lagopus muta (rock ptarmigan)
Lineage: Eukaryota; Metazoa; Chordata; Aves; Galliformes; Phasianidae
Exons: 3
Source: RefSeq, a predicted model, not a curated record